RNAcentral lists this ribosomal RNA (520 nucleotides) under uncultured Glomus. RNAcentral's name for it is "SSU rRNA". It matches the Rfam family "Eukaryotic small subunit ribosomal RNA", at positions 569 to 1092 of the family's 1831-position model. The record is from RNAcentral. Lineage: Eukaryota; Fungi; Glomeromycota; Glomeromycetes; Glomerales; Glomeraceae.
AGCAGCCGCGGUAAUUCCAACUCCAAUAGCGUAUAUUAAAGUUGUUGCAGUUAAAAAGCUCGUAGUUGAAUUUCGGGGUUAGUAGGUUGGUCAUGCCUCUGGUAUGUACUGGUCUCACUGAUUCCUCCUUCCUGAUGAGCCGUAAUGCCAUUAAUUUGGUGUUGCGGGGAAUUUGGACUGUUACUUUGAAAAAUUAGAGUGUUUAAAGCAGGCUCACGCUUGAAUACAUUAGCAUGGAAUAACGAAAUAGGACGUUUGAUUCUAUUUUGUUGGUUUCUAGGAUCGACGUAAUGAUUAAUAGGGAUAGUUGGGGGCAUUAGUAUUCAAUUGUCAGAGGUGAAAUUCUUGGAUUUAUUGAAGACUAACUACUGCGAAAGCAUUUGCCAAGGAUGUUUUCAUUAAUCAAGAACGAAAGUUAGGGGAUCGAAGACGAUCAGAUACCGUCGUAGUCUUAACCAUAAACUAUGCCGACUAGGGAUCGGAUGAUGUUAAUUUUUAAUGACUCAUUCGGCGCCUUACG